This 484-nucleotide ribosomal RNA is filed under the name uncultured bacterium. RNAcentral's name for it is "partial 16S ribosomal RNA". It matches the Rfam family "Bacterial small subunit ribosomal RNA", at positions 28 to 507 of the family's 1533-position model. The record is from RNAcentral.
GUUGAACGCUGGCGGCGGGCCUAACACAUGCAAGUCGAGCGGACGAAGGGGGAUCUUGCUUGUCUUAAGUUACGGACGGACGGGUAAUGAACACGUGUCUGACCUGCCGUGGGGGCUGGGGUAACGUCAGGAAACCUAAUCUAAUACCGGAUAAGAGGGUGAAACUGGUGGAUCUUCGGUCAAAACGCUUUCUGCUGAGCCUGGGUGUGAUUAGCUAGUUGGUAGGGUAAAGGCGUACCAAGGCGACGAUCCGUAACAGACCUGCGAGGAUGAUCAGUCACACUGGAACUGAGACACGGUCCAGACUCCUACGGGAGGCAGCAGUAGGGAAUAUUGCGCAAUGGGCGAAAGCCUGAUCCAGCCAUGCCGCGUGAGUGAUGAAGGUCUUCGGAUUGUAAAACACUGUAAGUUGGGAGGAAGGACAGUAAAAUAAUACCUGACUGUUUUGACGUUACCUACACAGAAAGCACCGGCUAACUACGUG